Molecule: ribosomal RNA, 373 nt
Filed under: uncultured organism
Description: bacterial SSU rRNA
Rfam family: Bacterial small subunit ribosomal RNA
Source: RNAcentral
CGUAGGGGGCAAGCGUUGUCCGGAAUCACUGGGCGUAAAGCGUGCGUAGGCGGGAGUUUAAGUGAGAUGUUAAAUCGUGUGGCUCAACCAUAUCGAUGCAUCUCAUACUGGGCACCUAGAGGAAGGCAGAGGCAAGUGGAAUUUGUAGUGUAGCAGUGAAAUGCGUAGAUAUUACAAGGAACACCAAUGGCGAAGGCAGCUUGCUGGGCCUUUUCUGACGCUGAGGUACGAAAGCGUGGGGAGCGAACGGGAUUAGAUACCCCGGUAGUCCUGGCCUUAAACGAUGGAUGCUUGGUGUCUAGAGUUUUAUAGUCUCCGGGUGCCGUAGCUAACGCGUUAAGCAUCCCGCCUGGGGAGUACGGUCGCAAGACUG